Lates calcarifer (barramundi perch) is the source of this 428-nucleotide long non-coding RNA. RefSeq lists it as uncharacterized. The transcript has 4 exons. Lineage: Eukaryota; Metazoa; Chordata; Actinopteri; Centropomidae. The record is from RefSeq and is a predicted model, not a curated record.
CUGACAGCAGGUGAGACAGAGGGAUCACCAGUGGCCCCUGACCCCAGGAGCCCCUACAGCAGACCUCAAAGUGGGGAAAUCCUAGAGGCUCAGCUCCACUACGACAGCCCGCCGUCUCUUGGACCGUCCCAACAGAGUGAAAGGUGCAGUCGGCCCCUCAGUGUGAAGACGUUUGAGGACAUCCCUGUGGCACACAGCAUUGUCAUGGAGGGUCACAUAGACAGUGGCUUCUCACCAGAGGAGGUCAAGGGUCUGAAUCAACACCUGCAAACCACGCCCAACUUCAGCCAACUGCUACGCUGUAAGAGUAAAGAGUCUCUGGCCUCAGAAUCGUCCAAUCAGACGAGUGGAUACCAGUCAGGGUACCACUCUGAUGACACAGACACCCCAAUCUAUGCUAACGAGGAGGUGAUAAUGAAGCACAACAU